This 498-nucleotide ribosomal RNA is filed under the name uncultured organism. RNAcentral's name for it is "SSU rRNA". It matches the Rfam family "Bacterial small subunit ribosomal RNA", at positions 32 to 509 of the family's 1533-position model. The record is from RNAcentral.
AACGCUGGCGGCGUGCUUAAUACAUGCAAGUCGAACGGAUGACGUCAGAAAGCUUGCUUUCUGAUUGAUUCAGUGGCGAACGGGUGAGUAAUACGUAGGCAACCUACCCCAGAGAGGGGGAUAGCAGUUGGAAACGACUAUUAAUACCGCAUAGGUAACAAGGAGGCAUCUCCUUGUUAUUAAAGAUGCGUUUGCAUCGCUAUGGGAUGGGCUUACGCUGUAUUAGCUUGUUGGUGAGGUAACGGCUCACCAAGGCUGUGAUACAUAGCCGGCCUGAGAGGGUGAACGGCCACAUUGGGACUGAGACACGGCCCAGACUCCUACGGGAGGCAGCAGUAAGGAAUUUUCGGCAAUGGACGAAAGUCUGACCGAGCAACGCCGCGUGAGUGAAGAAGGUCUUCGGAUCGUAAAGCUCUGUGGUAAAGGACGAACACUACAGUUAGGAAAUGAUCUGUAGCUGACGGUACUUUACUAGAAAGUCACGGCUUACUACGUGCC